CAGAGAUGGGCACAUGAUCCAAGCCAGGCCAGUUGCAUUCCUUCAUGGGACUUUCACCAAGGCCUUUGGGGAAAGUGCUCUUUCUCCAGGUUCACAAACUAUAAAGAUGAUGUGGUCUUGGAGCUGACAGUGGCCUUUUCACAGCCUUAUGGAGAGAGAUGCUGAGAGGGAAGUGGUACAUAAACAAAAAGAGCAAGGAACGAAGAUAAUGAUCAAGUUCGAGGAUGACAUAUAAACCUCUAGAUCCAGCUGUGCCUGAAGCCACCACAUCAACAUUGUAGAAUACUGUUUUGUGAACCAAUGUGUUCCUUUUUCUUUCUCCUUCCUUCCUUUCUUUUUCUUCUCUCCUUCCUUCCUUCCCCCUUCCCUCUCCCUCUUCUCCUUCCUUCCUUCCCCCUUUCCGUUCCCUUCCCUCUCCUUCCUUCCUUCCU
Molecule: long non-coding RNA, 431 nt
Filed under: Homo sapiens (human)
Lineage: Eukaryota; Metazoa; Chordata; Mammalia; Primates; Hominidae
Description: HSALNT0111255
Source: RNAcentral